UGGAGAUUCCCGAAUAGGUUAACCUUUUUAACUACUACUGAAUCCAUGGGCAGGCAAGAGACAACCUGGCGAACUGAAACAUCUUAGUAGCCAGAGGAAUAGAAAGAAAAAGUGAUUCCCGUAGUAGCGGAGAGUGAAAUAGGAGCAGCCUAAACCAUGAAAACGGGGUUGUGGGAGAGCACAAUAAAAUCUCUGUGCUGCUAGGAGAAGCGGUUGAGUCCUGCACCCUAGAUGGUGAGAGUCUAGUAGCCAAAAGCAUCAUUGGGUUACGCUCUAACCCGAGUAGCAUGGGGCACGUGGAAUCUCGUGUGAAUUAGCAAGGACUACCUUGCAAGGCUAAAUACUCCUGGGUGACCGAUAACGAAGGAGUACCGUGAGGGAAAGGUGAAAAGAACCCCCAUCGGGGAGUGAAAUAGAACUUGAAAUCGUAAGCUCCCAAGCAGUGGGAGGAAAAUGAUAUCUAUGACCGUGUGCUUGUUGAAGAAUGAGCCGGCGACUUAUAGGCAGUGGCUUGGUUAAGGGAACCCACCGAAGCCAUAGCGAGAGCGAGUCUUCAUGGGGAAAUUGUUACUGCUUAUGGACCCGAACCUGGGUGAUCUAUCCAUGACUAGGAUGAAUCUUGGGUGAAACUAAGUGGAGGUCCAAACCGACUGAUGUUGAAAAAUCAACGGAUGAGUCGUGGUUAGGGGUGAAAUUCCACUCGAACCCAGAGCUAGCUGGUUUUCCCCGAAAUGCGUUGAGGUACAACAGUUAACUGGACCAUCUAGGGGUAAAGAACUAUUUCGGUACGGGCCAUGAGAGCGGUACCAAAUUGAGGCAAACUCUGAAUACUAGAUUGCUCCAAUAAAAGGGGUAAAGGUCAGCCAGUGAGAUGAUGGGGGAUAAGCUUCAUCGUCGAGAGGGAAAUAGCCCAUAUCAUCAGCUAAGGCCCCUAAAUGACCGCUCAGUGAUGAAGGAAGUACGAGUGCAAAGACAGCCAGGAGGUUUGCCUAGAAGCAGCCAACCUUGAAAGAGUGCGUAAUAGCUCACUGAUCGAGCGCUCUUGCAUCAAAUAUGAACGGGACUAAGUGAUUUGUCGAAGCUGUGGGAUGUAAAAAUACAUCGGUAGGGGAGCGUUUCGCCUCAAAGGGAAGAACUGGCACGAGCAGGUGUGGAUGAAGCGGAAGAGAGAAUGUCAACUUGAGUAACGCAAACAUUGGUGAGAAUCCAAUGCCCUGAAAACCUAAGGGUUCCUCUGCAAGGUUCGUCCACGGAGGGUGAUUCAGGGCCUAAGAUCAGGUCGAAAGGCGUAGUCGAUGGACAACAGGUUAAUAUUCCUCUACUACCCCUUGUUGGUCCCGAGGGACAGAGGAGGCUAGGUUAGCCGAAAGAUGGUUAUCGGUUCAAGGACGCAAGGUGACCCUACUUUUUUCAGGGUAAUUAGGGGUAGAGAAAAUGCCUCGAGCCAAUGUCCGAGUACCAAGCACUAUAGCGCUGAAGUAACCCAUGCCAUACUCCCAGGAAAAGCUCGAAUGACCUUUAACAAACAGGUACCUAUACCCGAAACCGACACAGGUAGGUAGGUAGAGAAUACCUAGGUGCGCGAGACAACUCUCUCUAAGGAACUCGACAAAAUAGCCCCGUAACUUCGGGAUAAGGGGUUCCUCCUCAGGAGGUCGUAGUGACCAGGCCCGGGCGACUGUUUACCAAAAACACAGGUAUCCACAAAUUCGUAAUACCAUGUAUGGGGGCUGACGCCUGCCCAGUGUCGGAAGGUUAAGGAAGUUAGUGACCUGAUGAUGGGGAAGCUAGAAACCAAAGCCCUGGUGAAUGGCGGCCAUAACUAUAACGGUCCUAAGGUAGCGAAAUUCCUUGUCGGGUAAGUUCCGACCCGCACGAAAGGCGUAACGAUCUGGGCACUGUCUCGGAGAGAGACUCGGUGAAAUAG
Picea glauca (white spruce) is the source of this 1927-nucleotide non-coding RNA. Lineage: Eukaryota; Viridiplantae; Streptophyta; Pinopsida; Pinales; Pinaceae. The record is from Rfam.